Small nuclear RNA from Mobula hypostoma (lesser devil ray), 103 nucleotides. Lineage: Eukaryota; Metazoa; Chordata; Chondrichthyes; Myliobatiformes; Myliobatidae. The record is from RefSeq and is a predicted model, not a curated record.
UCGCUUCAACAGCGCACAUACAAAAGUUGGAACGAUACAAACAAGGUUUCUGUGCCACCUGUACAAGGAUGACACGCAAAUUCAUGAAGUGUUUUAUAUUCUA